UACGUAGGGUGCGAGCGUUGUCCGGAAUUAUUGGGCGUAAAGAGCUCGUAGGCGGCUUGUCGCGUCGGAUGUGAAAGCCCGGGGCUUAACUCCGGGUCUGCAUUCGAUACGGGCAGGCUAGAGUUCGGUAGGGGAGAUCGGAAUUCCUGGUGUAGCGGUGAAAUGCGCAGAUAUCAGGAGGAACACCGGUGGCGAAGGCGGAUCUCUGGGCCAAUACUGACGCUGAGGAGCGAAAGCGUGGGGAGCGAACAAG
Molecule: ribosomal RNA, 253 nt
Filed under: uncultured bacterium
Lineage: Bacteria
Description: partial 16S ribosomal RNA
Rfam family: Bacterial small subunit ribosomal RNA
Source: RNAcentral